Molecule: unclassified non-coding RNA, 200 nt
Filed under: Xylariales sp.
Lineage: Eukaryota; Fungi; Ascomycota; Sordariomycetes; Xylariales
Description: partial internal transcribed spacer 2
Source: RNAcentral
UUAAGUUCAGCGGGUAUCCUACCUGAUCCGAGGUCAACCAUAGAAAAAUAGGGGGGUUUAGCGGCUAGAGUUACAGCACCUAACAAAAGCGAGAUAAAAAUUUACUACGCUCAGAGGACACUAUAAAUCCGCCGUUGGUUUUUAGGAACUACAGGGUAGCUACAAGGUAGCUCCGCUCAGUAGAUUCCCAACACUAAGCU